This 1155-nucleotide unclassified non-coding RNA is filed under the name Hevea brasiliensis (rubber tree). The record is from RNAcentral. Lineage: Eukaryota; Viridiplantae; Streptophyta; Magnoliopsida; Malpighiales; Euphorbiaceae.
UGCGAUACUGAAAGCAGCAGAGAGUGGUAGUGUUGUGGAAAACGUGGAUCUUUCUGGGCGGCAAUUGAGGCUAUUUCCUGAGGCUUUUGGUAGGCUUCAUGGGUUGCUUCUGCUCAAUCUCUCUCACAAUCAGCUAGAGGUCAUUCCUGAUUCAAUCGCGGGACUUGUGAAACUUGAGGAGCUUGAUGUUUCUUCCAACCUUCUUGUCUCACUGCCUGACUCUGUUGGAUUGUUGCGAAAUCUUAAGGUCCUAAAUGUGUCAGGAAACAAGUUGAAUGCUCUCCCUGAAAGUGUUGCUCUUUGCAGUUCUUUGGUGGACUUAGAUGCUAGUUUUAACAACUUGAUGUCUUUACCAACAAAUAUUGGGUAUGGGCUGGUGAAUCUUGAAAGGCUUUCAAUCCAGCUGAAUAAGAUCCGUUUUCUUCCACCAUCUAUUUGUGAAAUGAAGUCUUUGAGAUACUUGGAUGUUCAUUUCAAUGAGCUUCAUGGCCUGCCACUUGCAAUUGGGAGAUUAACAAAUCUUGAGGUCCUGAACUUAAGCAGCAAUUUCAGUGACUUGACUGAACUUCCUGAAACAAUUGGUGAUCUAACUAACCUGACAGAGCUCAAUCUGAGCAACAACCAAAUUCGAGCUCUUCCCCAUACAUUUGGUAGGCUUGAAAAUCUGAACAAGCUCAACUUGGAUGAAAAUCCACUCAUAAUUCCUCCGAAGGAGAUAGUGCACAAGGGCGUUCAAGCUAUCAGGGAGUUCAUGCAAAAGGGGUGGCUCAAUAUGUUAGCAGAGGAACAACAGAGGAGAAUGCAGGAGUCAAAUCAGCAACAAGCUCAAACUGGAUGGCUGGCAUGGGGCACUUCCAUGUUGAAUAACUUUGUGUCUGGGGUUUCUGAAAGUGUUUCAGGAUAUAUAGGAGGGACAAAAGCUCCACGGGAUCCAUAUCUGGACCAGCAGUUAUGAAUUUUAUUCAGCUUCUGGUUUGUUUCUGUAAAUUCUCAGUGCAUGCGGUCUGGCAGUAUGUAAAGCUGGUGAAAUUUGCCUUUAGUCUCUGUUAUGCUGGUGCAUCUCCAUGAACUUUGUUCGAAGUUUGUGUAUUCUAGACUAUAAGUAUCAGCUUAUGUGGUAGAACACACAUUUAAAUACAACUUUAGGUACCCAAA